Molecule: ribosomal RNA, 460 nt
Filed under: uncultured bacterium
Lineage: Bacteria
Description: partial 16S ribosomal RNA
Rfam family: Bacterial small subunit ribosomal RNA
Source: RNAcentral
CCUACGGGUGGCAGCAGUGAGGAAUAUUGGUCAAUGGACGAAAGUCUGAACCAGCCAAGUCGCGUGAAGGAUGACUGCCCUAUGGGUUGUAAACUUCUUUUAUAUGGGAAUAAAAUGUUCAACGUGUGGGCUUUUGUAUGUACCAUAUGAAUAAGGAUCGGCUAACUCCGUGACAGCAGCCGCGGUAAUACGGAGGAUCCGAGCGUUAUCCGGAUUUAUUGGGUUUAAAGGGAGCGUAGGUGGAUUGUUAAGUCAGUUGUGAAAGGUUGCGGCUCAACCGUAAAAUUGCAGUUGAAACUGGCAGUCUUGAGUACAGUAGAGGUGGGCGGAAUGCGUGGUGUAGCGGUGAAAUGCUUAGAGAUCACGAAGAACACCGAUUGCGAAGGCAGCUUACUGGACUGCAACUGACACUGAGGCUCGAAAGUGUGGGUAGCAAACAGGAUUAGAUACCCGAGUAGUC